This 217-nucleotide ribosomal RNA is filed under the name uncultured bacterium. Its description in RNAcentral is "partial 16S ribosomal RNA". It matches the Rfam family "Bacterial small subunit ribosomal RNA", at positions 524 to 762 of the family's 1533-position model. The record is from RNAcentral.
UACGUAGGGUCCAAGCGUUAUCCGGAAUCACUGGCGUAAGCGUGCGUAGGUGGUUGUUAAGUGUAUUGCGAAUCCUGUGGCUCAACCAUAUGGACUGUAUGCAUACUGGCAGACUAGAGACAUGAGAGCAGUGGAAUACUGUGUAGCAGUGAAUGCGUAGAGAUCAGUAGACACAUGCGAGCAGCUGCUGCAUGUAUCUGACGCUAGCACGAAGCGU